Molecule: long non-coding RNA, 1079 nt
Organism: Callithrix jacchus (white-tufted-ear marmoset)
Lineage: Eukaryota; Metazoa; Chordata; Mammalia; Primates; Cebidae
Source: RefSeq, a predicted model, not a curated record
AUGUCCGGAGUAAGGGGCCAGCCCACGGGCUGGGAGGAAGGGGAGAGGCUGCGCCACUGCUCCCGGCUCCCCGGAGACUCCACUGCGGAAAACAGAGAGCUGAGCCCCGGCGCGGAUCAGCCGAACUCGACAGGCCCUGGCGGGUCACCUGCCCCUAACCCUGGUUGGGCCGGGAGGGGUCUUCUCCCCACAAGUCCCCUGGGCCGGAGGAGGCUUCUCCUUUCCAACCCCCGCGCCCGGCGCCUGCCUUAGACUGCUGCCGCCCGCCGGGCUCCUCUCUCGCUCCCGGUGCCAGGUGGCCCGAGGUGGCCCGCGCCAUCGUGCCGUCCAGCCGACUCAGAUUAACGCAGGUUCGACGUUCCGCGUCCUCAGGGAGCAGGUGGGAAGGACGCGUCUGGGGUCUGUGGUCUGGACCUCCGGCCUCGGAGCGCGCAGCAACCCCACGAGGCAGGAUUGCGACCGCGGAGGCCUGCAACUGUGACUGAACUCGCGCCUCCUCCACCCGUUUCGCGGCCCCCAGUCCACCCCGGCUAAUGGCGUUAACCUUGGAUUCCCCUCAAUGCCGCGCCCUGUGGCACCCGGGAAAGUCUCCACGCAGGAAGGCCCAGGGCCCUGGAAGCCAGCUGGAAACUCAAGCACUCUAUGAAGAGUCUUACGUGGUGAGGAACUGAAGCCUCAUGCCAGCACCAGCAUCUACCUGCCUGACAGAAAACUAGAAGAGCAAGGCAUUGGGGAAUUCAUAUCUGCUAGAGAAAUAUGCAUUUCAGCCUGGGCUGAUUGGAGCCUGGAAUAUGAUGGUGAGACUCCUACUCACAAAUUGGAUGGUGAUGGAAAGGCCAUCCUGAUGAGCCAAAAAUUUUGUCAGAAGACAGAGUGAUGUUGGACAACACCACUGAGCCACAACUUCCAUCCACGCAAGACUUAAUAUAUUUCCUGGGACAAAAGUACCUAGGAAACCAAAAGCCUUUCAGCUUGCCCCUUGAAGCGAAUUUCCCUUUGGCUGACACUGUACAGCAAAGUGUAUUAAUACCCAUGAUGGGUGAUCAGCCUUCAAUAAAUAAUGCUGGUUGUUCUAAUGU